GUCUUCUCCGUGGUAAUGGGGCAGCCUCCUGGGCAGCCAGCGCCCUGCGGGGAGGAGGUUCUAGCCUUCAGCCUGGGGCACCUGCUGGGGAAGUCAGGAGGGCAGGGCAGUCCAAGUGCUCCAAGGCCCUGAGGGGGUGCAGCUCUGGGCUGCCCCAGGCACGGGCAGGUCCUGGCACCACCCUGACCUUUGAAUUCCUGGCCCAGUGGAGCUCAGGGGAUCCAGGUGCUGAGUGACAAGAUCUGCAAACUCCAGUCCCUCCUUCCGAAUCCACGCCACCUUUUCCUUCCUCUUCCCUGGCCUCCUCAGCACUCCUGGCUGGAAUUUAAAUGUCAUCAGCUCUGACCAACCUGAGGUCCUCUGCUCAGGUCUUCUGCAGAGGUGGGGGAUGAGUGGGGGUGCUGCUCAGAGCUCAGAUUCACUCACCUUUUCAUCUUUUCAUGCUGGGAGGAAGACCCCCUGAGGUCCCUGGGAUCCGAGAACAGAGGUGCCUGACUCAGCAUCUUAGUGGCAGCGCCAGGAAGUGCCUUGGCUCAGAGCAGACGAACAUUUCUGGACUUGCUGUGGGGAGAGGCAGGCUGAAGCUGUGGUGCCAGGAAACAGGCUCUCCUAGGUGGAUGCAGAUGUAAUGGACAAGGGCCGCAGGUAAGCCUUCUGCUGGGGUGGGUGAGUGGGACCCUCCUGCCUGCCUUUUUCUGCAGGGAGGCUGGCCUGGAGGCCUGGCUGGAGCUGGGCAGACAGGGCCCAAAGCUGAGCUGGUCUGGGGGUGGAGCCUGUCAAGUUGCGGAGCUCCAGCCUGGCUCCGCCCCUCCCUUCCCAGGGCUCAAAGGGAUGACAUCACCAGACUGAGGGCUCUGACCUGGAUGGGCUGGGCUUGUGGAAGCUGGCUCCACAGGGCUCCAGGACUUCCUGGGGUGGCCGGGCCUGCUUCUCCGCUACUCAUCUGAAUCCCCCUUCGGCCCUGGGAUUUCUGCUUUGGGGGUCCUAGAGCUGGCAACUUAUUUUUCAGAUGUCCAAGUCUGGGGCUCGGGUCUUCCACCAGAGACCAUGCCUGGGGCAGGUGGUCAGGCGCUCCUCCCUGACCUGGCCCGCACGGGCUGCUCCAUAGUUCUGAGGGGGAGUCAACCCCUGGUUCGAGCCGGGCAGCAGUCAGCCGCAGCAAACCUACCAUCCCCUUGCCGCAGGUCCAUGCCACUCUCUCCGCCCCCUCCCCCCCCACCAACUGGGUGCUGGUGGUGCCUGUUUGUGGAGCAUAUGCUUGGCUGGCUGCUGCGUGUCUGCUGUUUAUCCGUCUCUUCCCACUUAACUUCUGUUCCCGCCUGGCCCAUCUGGCUCCCUGGUACCUGUCUUUCUCGCGGGCGCCUCCAUGCGACACUGCAUUCCUGCCCCGCAGUCCUCCUCCACCACUUCCCUCCUGGGGCCUGGCUCUCAUCCAGUCUGGGCCACCACCGGAGCCCUUGACCUUGGAUCUAGGGGCAGUGAGCUGCGUCGGAGUCCCUGCAGUGUUCUGGCCGCCCUUGGGGAGGGAGGUUGAAAUAGGUGAUAGAGGGUAGCAUGUGAGGGGCCUGGGACUUGGUGGGGCAGGGUCUGGGGCUGGGGGGAGUCCUGCUUCACUGGGUCCUUCUGAGCUUCCUUCCCAUCAGGGGGCUUUGUUGGGGUAGGGCCAUGGAGACACUGCCCUCUGCCUGCAGCAGCUGUAUGAGAGUGACCUGUGAGUAGCAGUAGAGAGAAUGAGGUCAGGGAGGCCCCAGGAUUCUUCUGACCAAGAACCUGGAGUGCACCCUGCUUCUCCCUGCGGAGGGGGACUGUGGCAAUCUGGUGGUCUGGGCAAGAGGCCAGGGAGAAGCUGCAGGAUGCUUCCAGUGGGCACGAGGCGGGUGGGUUAGGGUUGGCCUCCCCUCAACCACUAGAUCCGUCCCACUCUGGCCUCCCCUCAACCACCAGAUCCGUCCCACUCUAGCCAAUGGCCCAAUCACUGCUCCCUCCCCCAACCUCCCACCUGCUUCCACACCCCAGCACACACAGCAUCUCCCGGGUAAGAUGCAGUGGCUUCCCGCUUCCCCGGGACUCACACAUGAGGGGCUGGUGGAGCCUGGAGGAGGACGGAAAGGAAGAUCAGGGCGGGGACUGGGGCUGCUCCUGCUGGUGGAGGCCGCGCUGGGCCCGAGUCAACAAGGAUCUUCCACAUGCUCCCUGGAAGCGACUGCUUCCCUCGGAAGCCGCAGGGCUUGGCGGCCAGGCCUCGCCGCGUGCCGCUCCAUCUGCCCGCUCCGCCGGCUCCUGGCCCGCUCCCUUGGCCUCUAAUCUUCUUCCUUCCUCCUGAGCCUCCUUUCUCCUGCCUCGCUUCCCAUCUCUGUCCGGCCAGGUCCGUCCGUGCCGCGGUCCCAGGCCUUCCUCCCCUCGGCCUUCAUCCAUCCAGCUUCCUCUUGCGCCUCUGCUGUUUCUCGUGUUCAGAUUCUCUCUCUCAUACAUAUUCAGCAGCUCCUUGAAAAUCCACCUGGAUCAUUCUCAGUGCUAGAAGCUUAGAUCCACUUCAGGAAUAAAGAAUAAAGCUUCUCACCCUGUGAAUCUGCGUCCCUAUCUCUGGACAUGGGCCGGGAUCAGCCACCUGGCCAGUGUUGGUGAAGCCGUAUGCUUUUCCACACAGACGCACUUACUCCCUCAGUGCCUCCUCUUCCGACCUGGGACCAGAAGGACAAUGACGUCCAGAGACACACAGUCCUGUGCCUCGGGGGCAGCCCCCCUGCCCUGGAGGGAUUUGAAGAUUUUAGUCCUGGAAAUGUAUACUCCGAGCGUCUGAACCUUUGUGAUUUACAGCCCGUUCACACUUGCCCUGUUAUCCCCUUCCAACUCCUGUAGGAGGUUCAGAAACGAAGGAAGUUUCUGGCACCAGCAGUGCUGGACAAACAGCUGGCAUCAGAUGGGCUCAGGUUCCAGCCCUUGACCGUGGCAGGUGAACAGAAAGAUCCAGACAGACGUGGGGGAGUGGUGGUUAAGGGAGGAGGGGGUGUGACACUGAGCCACGCCCCACCCUCCUGGGGAGGGUGGGAGGCUGAGCAGGAGGAGGAGGGGGAGGCAGACCCAGCCAGGCCACUGCACAGGAGGUGGGAACGGGUUCGUGGUUCCCCAGCCCCGUUGUUCCCGGCUCCUUUCUCUGCCUUUUUUUUUUUAUCAUCUGGCCUUGUGACUCCUUUUCUGCUUGAUUCUUCUGCCCCUGCCCAUCUUUCCCUGCAUCCUUGGGGUCUGCCACUAUCCUCUGCUCCCUUUCUCUUCCAUCUUCCCUAUUCCUCACCUCUCUUUGCCCCCUGACUGCCUCCACAUCAGCUCCCCAGCAUCUGUCUCUCAGCAACAGUGUCAUCAGUGUAGCCUCAAAGUGGCUGGACAGCCCAGGGGCUGGUAUAUCACAUCCCUUCCCUAGAGUUCCUGACUCCGGUCGGAACUCCCAGGCUGAACCCCGUGUACCCUUCGUUUUUGAACCCCUGGGGGCUGUCCACUCAACCCCCACAUGACAUGCACCCAGUCACGCGGACUCACCUCGAGGCCCGUGGUGGGGCCUUGGGCAGACAUAACUGCUCUUCUCUGGGGACGACUCCCGAAACCUGCCCCCUCCAGAUCCUCCCCCAGUCUCAAUUAGCCAAAGAUGGUGGUUACACCCCAGAAGCCUACCUCUAACUUUUCCUCCACAAGCAUGUGAUUCUUCAGUUUUCAGAGUGACUGCUAGGCUAGUGUCCUAACUUCCCUUAUAGUUUCUUUCACUUCUGUCCUGAAAAGAAGAACAAAUCUAACAAACCCUUCAAAACCCACACUGUAUGCCACCAAAGAGAUUCCAUCAGGUAGGGGGGGUCACCCGUGCCCCUGGCUCCCUUCAUCAGCACCCCUUCCAUGCUGACCCCCCAGCUGCUUUGGGAGGUAGAGUCAGAGCUGAGGCUCGUGAGCUCCAGGCCGCCUGUCCUGGGGCUAAAGGUGAUGUCAGUUUUAGGAGAACCAUGAGCUGGGGCCCCUCCAACUCCCCAGGGCGGUUUCUGAGGCAGCAGCUGGUGCUGUGAGAGCUGAGUCCAGUUGAGUGGUCUGGGGCACUCAUACGCCCCUCUGAGCUCAGGUCCUUGUCUGUGAGGAAGGAGCAGUAAAAUCCUGCCCUAUGGCUUUGUUGAGAAGAUUAAAUGCAGAAGCAGGAGUGCAAGCGCUAGGUACGUGUACGGAGUUUCUAGAGAAGCGGGAAUGGAGCAUCGAGGCAUCAGGUUUGCCGGGGAGACCGGCAGCAGGCAGCCCCCGGCCUCAGAGAGGUCUCAGAGAAGCCCCACAGAUGCCCCGGGGCCUUGGGAGAGGCUGGCAACCUCACUGCCUCCACCACCUCCAUCUGCAUCCUGUUGUCUGCCUGGACAGGCAUGACCAGCAUGUCACAGUCUUCAAACCCUUUGCCCUUGGUGCCAGAGAUGUGGGAACUAGGUCAACCCACUCAAGUUCGGAGGUGAGGCCCCGGCAGGAGAGCAGCCUGAUUUCCUGCCUUGAUGAGACAGCAGGCAGGUAUGGAAAACAUGAUCUGGCUAUAAAAUUAACGUGGGUAAGGGACGCAGCAGAGGCACCGAGAAACCCUUGGUCCUUCCGAGUUCUGUGCCAUGUUCAUGUGGAACCACAAGUCCUCAGGACAGCACGUUGUCUUGGGUUCUAUGGCUUCACCGAGCCUUGCAGACACAUCCACUUAGCAGGGGUUACUUGACUGGGUGGUCUUCCCUGGUAGUUCAGCGGUAAAGAAUCUGCCUGCAACGCAGGAGAUAUGGGUUUGAUCCCUGGGUUGGGAAGAUCCCCUAGGAGGAGGGCACGGCAACCCACUCCAGUACUCUUGCCUGGAGAAUCCCAUGGACAGAGGAGCCCAGUGGGCUACAGUUCAUAGGGUCACAAAGAGUCAGACAUGAUUGAAGUGACUGAGCACUCAUACACACACUUGAUGGGGUGAUUGGGAAAGAGCAGGAACAAUGAGAGGGAAAUAAAGGCGGGAGAGUCAAGCUGUUUUUAUAACCCAUUGUGUGGAAGGGCCCAGCUCCCCGCUUUUGUGCUGAUUGAGGCAUGGUUUAAAUUCGACUUCCCCUCGAAAGAAACCACAGCACCAACAAAAUGACUGUCUCGCAUGUUCUGUAUGUUGGCAGGUCUGGGUAGGACAGAGGCCCCUGGCUGCUGGAGGUGGAGGUAUUGCCAGGUUGGGACGUGUGGAGAAGCUGCAGAGCUCACAGGACAGUGCAGAAGGUUAGGAAGGGCCAGAUGGUCCAGUGGCUACAGGAGGGGAAGCCGAGGCCCAGACGCUCAAGAUCACCCAGCCUGUUGGUGGCAGAAGUGGGCAGAGCACAGAGGUCUUCUGACCCCCAAUCUUGAGCUUCCCAGGACUGCAAACUGCCCCCUAAGAAAUGAUUCCAAAAGGAGUCAUGGCGCCAGAGACGGCUGAGCUUGGUCUGCUUCUGUCAUUUGGAGGGUGUCUAUCACAGAGAGAGGGAAAACUGAGGGCACCCCAUGAGCCUGGCACGGCCUGCAGACAUGACGGCUUCCCCAGGAGGCAGAAAAAUGGGGGAAAUUUGGGGAGGCACGGGCUGCAGCUUUGGGUCACCCUGUCCCCAGGCUUCCCUGAUGACUCUCCUUUGUGCUCAGGCCUGGUAAGGACCCCAGGCUGCCCGCCUGAUGGGGUCAGAGGAGGGGACAGAGCCAACGAGCCUCGCUCUGGCUUCUGCUGGUUGGCUGUGACUCCUGGUCUGCCUGGAUGGAGCCGGAGGAUAAGAAGAACAGGAAGAGAAAGGAAAGCAGCUGGAGGAUGCAGGAUGCCCGUCUGCUGUGUGGUGGAGGGGCCUGAGGAGGAAGGAGGCAUGCGGGCCCCCAGCCAAGAGGCUCAAUUAGGGUUCCCUGGCAUCCACAGGCCGGAGGAACAGCCAGUGCCUGUGGGAGGUCAGAAACCGACAGACUUGGAGCCAGUGAAUCUGGGCUGAAGACCUGCUGCUCUGCGUCAAAUUGCCAACCUCCUUGAGUUCUGAGCAGAGAAGGCAAUGGCACCCCACUCCAGUACUCUUGCCUGGAAAAUCCCAUGGACGGAGGAGCCUGGUAGGCUGCAGUCCAUGGGGUUGCGAAGAGUCAGACAUGACUGAGUGACUUCACUUUCACGCAUUGGAGAAGGAAAUGGAAACCUACUCCAGUGUUCUUGCCUUGAGAAUCCCAGGGAUGGCGGAGCCGGUUGGCUGCCGUCUAUGAGGUCGCACAGAGUUGGACACGACUGAAGCGACUUAGCAGCAGCAGCAGCAUGAGCUCUGAGCGUCACUCCACGGUAUAGGCGACCCUGCUGACCUUAAAGACUUAGAGUGAAGAUUCAACAAUGAAGCUCCAGCCCAGCUCCUAGCACAGAAGCCAGCACGAUGGCCGUGGUCCUGGGUUCCUGGGGUGCCUGCGGGCUGGCUCCCGCCAUCCACCUGCUCCUGGAGUUCACACACUCAGACCAAGAGGAAAACGAGGAAAGGAUGCAGGUUCUCCCACAGUGACAGAAGCCAGCGGCUGAGCCCAAAGUCCACGCUGGGUCUCGACUUCCCCAAUCCACUGUACUUAAUCGAUGGGUUCACAAGCUUGGCCAGAGCAAUGCCAUCCUUCGCAGGGACAUGAGGGGAGACAGAGGGGGAGAAGGUACUGGGCAUGUGUUGGAGAACCAGGUUAUGGACGUCUGUAUGUACGCCGCCGUCAGGAUCUGCUACAGAUCCGACUUUGAGCAACUGGAGCCCGGUUACUCGAAGGAGAUCCCUGAGAAGGUGAGGUUCUUCUCAGACUUUCUGGGGAAGAGGCCUUGGCUUGCAGGGGCCAAGCUCACCUAGCUGGACUCCCUGGAUUAUGACAUCCUUGAUGGGCACCGCCAUGUUUGAGCCCAAGUGCCUGGAUGAAUCCCAAACCUGGAAGACUGCCUUUCCCAUGUUGAGGGCCUGAGGAUCUCUGCCCCUGAAGCCCAGUCGCUUCUGCCCAGGGCCUCUGUUUCUGGAGACUGCCCUGUGGGGCAAUAGGUGGGACCUUCUAACCAGAUGGAGUGAGGAGCCGGUGCCCUCAAGAGCAGCCGGACCUCCCUGCCCCCAGAACCACCUGUCCUUUCCUUUCUCCUUCUGGCCACUCUAGAUGCCUUCACAGCCCCCUUGUCUCCCUCCCAACUCCCUUCCCAUCCUUCCUUUAAAGCUUCAGCUCCCGUUUUUCUUCAACAAAUUUCCUCCCCCACCCCCAUGUUCUUCCUCCUGCACUAAAGCUCAACCAGACCGUCCUUCCUUUCCGUGGUUGCUUCUGCCCUGAGGAGUCCACCAGACCCCCGUCCCAGAGAGCUCUGCCCUGAAGACCUGACUUGGCUAGUGUGGGGGCCAUGCUUCCCUGUGUGGUUCCUGCCUGCCCUAUCUGGUCCCCAGUAAAGACUUAAUCAUACCACCAACAACUACAAGACUCUAGUACGUGUGCUAGAAUCUGAAUGUAGCAGGCGCUUCUCAUGGCUCACUCCCUUCCUCCCACAAACCCAGCCGGCCCCACCACUUCGCUUGGUGCUCCAAGGUUCUGAAAGCAGAGAAGGCAACUCUAGACGCUCAGGCUGUCCUGGCAGCGGAGGGUCCACUGAUCCCAGACCAGGGUCUUCUUCCUAUGGAGCUUCCCAGAGUUACUGCCAGGCACCACCAGGCUCCAGAGCCCUGGACAAAGGUUCUCGGAUGCCUGUCUUUAGACAUAGAUACAAAGCGAUCAGCGUAGUAGAUCCCAGAAUUCAAGAGAGAUGGAACUGCUGGUCUAAAGCCAUACAUCAUCAAUGCACAGUGAGGGGGGACUUUGGCCACGUGGGCUCUGAACCCCAGAGCCGGCUAGGAGGGGCUUGUCCUUGUCUGGAGAGCCCUCGGAUCCUCUGCCACUCUGCAGGCACAUCAGUAAGAGAUGCACUUGCAGGCAGACAGACGCCAGUUCAAAUCUCAGCUGUAUUCCUUUCCAGCUGCAUGACAACGGGUUUGACCUCUCUAAGGUCUGCUCCCUUGUGUGAAAAGGAGGAUGCCAGUUCAUUCGGAAGGCUGCCCGGAAGAACAGCUUGAGAGAGGCACACCAUUUAACCACCACCCAGUGGAGGUGACUUGACGGUGCUUCAGACCAGUGACCGGUGGUCCUGACACUGCACUGUUCUGCUCCUUUCUGUUCUGUCCUGAACCUCUUCUGCUUCUUUGCUUCACUUGAAUCCGAUCCAGUGCCAUCAAGUCCUGAUCUUUGACCCCUCCCAUCAGCCUGACCCUCCAUGGUCCCCACAUCUUCAGAAUAGCCCUGCUGGAAGUGACCCAUCCCAUCUGACCCUGGCUCACCUGGGAUCAGCAGGUAGGUCUCCCUCCCAGGACAACUCCUUGAGCCAGGAGCCAACGUUCCCCAGCAGGAGGGGCCAGGGCCCCAGGAAGAGGAAUGGUUCUGGGUUUGGGCCUCCACUUGGGAGCUGGCUCAGGCCCAUCUCUGGCCACUCAGCCUCCUGAGGAGCCUGCCGUGAGGGACGUGUGACUAGCCCUAGACCCUCAGUGCCCUGGUCCACUCCCGGCGGAUCCGUCCACACCUCAUUUAGCCACUUAGGGAGGAGAAAGAGCAAGGGGAGCUGGAGAAAUCUGUCCAGACCCUGAUGAAUAGUUUCCCAAGCCUGCUGUUGCCAUGGCAGCCAGCUGGGAACACCAUUUCCAGGGCCCGAGGCGCUAAGACCUGCACGGGGGGCUGCCCUGCUGGGCUGCUGCCCACUCGCCUACCCCCACCCGGCCUCCUGGCUCCUUAGCAACUGCUGUCACCAUUGCCAUCGCAACCACGGCUGCAGCUUCUGCACUGGCAGCUGGAGUGGGGGAGGGGGCAGUGUCCAGGGAUGUUCUAGGAGGAGGCGGGGAGUAUGUGCCUGGCAGAGUUGAGGUACUUAUGAGGUAGGAAGGGAAAACCUGGGCCACUUUGCCUCAGUGGCUCCUUCCUGACUAUAGACUCCUAAGGAUGUGUUUGUGUAUCUUGGUGUAUGUGGGUUUUUCUGGAGAAAGAGUUUAGAGUUUUUAUCCAACUCUCAAAGAAGACCAAGAUCCCCAGUGAGUAAGAGCCACAGUCAUGGACACUUCUGCUUUCAGAGUCAGAAUCAUCUCAGGGACUGGUUGAUCCCCAGGCUUCAGAGAUAAGCACAGGGGAAAGGUGGAGGCAGGAGGCGUACUACUCAGGGACCCCUCAGGGGUGCCCCCUGGGGUCCUUUGGGAACCGGGGCUGGCGUCUCCCUCCUGACCACCUUAGAUGGUCCAUCCUUCUCAUCUGCCCCGGCUUGCAGCUCUGCCCCGAAGUCAGCCGUGCAAACCAUCUGUGUUUCCUGUGCCCAGCCCCUGAGUCCCGUGUCCUACACACCCUCUACAGUGUCCCAGCAACCUGCACACUGACCAGCGGGGAUGUUCACUCACCACUGCCAUUUAGAGAUGAGAACUUUGAAACAACAGAUAAAGUGAGCCAUCUGCCAAGUCGAUGCAGUGGGUUUCCCUGUCCCCGAGGAGCAGGAGUCACAGGGCACCAUAUUUUCUCGGGGGACACUGUGCAAUCGCCACUGUUGGCUACAUGCAGAUCAAAGGAAGUGACCUCGGGACAUCCCUGUAGACUGACCUCUGCUACAGAGAAUUGCCCAUGCCCGCAGGUCAGGUACCCCUGGGUAUCCUGGUUGGUACCCUUGGGCGGGCAGAUGGCACAGUGUCUCUGGCUACCAGGUGCCUGGUUCAACAGUCUAGGUGAGGGAUUUUGAAGGUUCCACAGAGGGAGCAGAAAAGACCAGAUGCCCCACACUUCACUGGCAUGUGGGGGGCGGGCAGGUGUUCAUGAGGGGCCUGAGAGGGAGGUGAGAGGCUUGGAACACCCCCAGGCCACGUGGGCUGUUGGCAUCCUAGCAGAGGAUGACAGGGACGCUGUGUUCGUCACUGCUGUGCAGAAACACAAGGUACCAUCCGAUCCGCAAGUGGGAGUGGGGGGCUCCGUCAUCUGCAGGCUUCUGUGGGAGCAAUCUCUCGGCCCCUCAUCUUGCCCCAGAGGCGCAGCGCCGAGAGCAGAUGGUGAGGGGGAGGAGGGUGGGUCCCGAUUCCUGAGUCACUUGUCUGCCGGGCUUCCUUUUGGGGGUGCUGGCAAGUACAGCACGCUCCAUCAUCGCGGACAAAUUGGUGGCCGGAUGGCAGGGAGGCGAGGGUCAGACAAAGGAGGUGAUGCUGGGAGUGCCUCACACCCAGUCAGGAGGUGAUUAAGCUGUGGAGGAGAAAGCCGGGGAGUCAUCGCUGACUCAGGGAUGAGGCUGCUGCUCUGUUCUCGCCUCACCUGCCCGCUCACUCGCAGGCUGGAGCGGGGAGGCUGGUUGAAAAGGUGAGUGAUUCAGAGGCACUUUAAAAAGCAGCGCUUCUUAAGCUGACGAGCUUCUGAGACUGAAUCAGACUUUUUUUUUCCUUUAAUUUUCCAAUGUGAGGAGGUUGGAGUCUUUUCUGAGAACUAGGGACAGAGCCCAGGGUGGACACAGCUGGGGGCCUGGACAGGCGAAGCAGCCAUGUGCCCCCUAGCUCUGAGUGGGGUGUGUUUGAGAGAGGCUGCCGGCUGGCUAGUUAAGGGCCUGGGAUGUGAGCCCAGUCUGGACUCACUAGCUCUGGGCAGUGACCACUCCCUCCAACUCCACGGCAACCCCAGGUCUAUUUUCUCAUCCAUAGGAAGAGACUAGAAUUCCUGGGUACCAGACUGGGAGGGGAGAGGGCAGGGCAGCACCGGUGCAGCCCUAAAUGAAGAAGAAGUAACUUCUCUUCAGUUUCUCUCUCCUAUUCCGAAGAGAAGUAAGACAUCCUGAUUUAUAUCACACGCUGUGGUCACAACAGAACAGUAAGAUGGGUAAUUCAGUGAUGCAAAUUACCCUCAAAUACAAUAAACAUUUAUUGAAAGACGCUGCUUUAUUGUUGGCGACCCCCUCUGGGAAGGUGCUAAAGGUGCGCGGAUCUGGUUGGUGGGUGUCCAAGGAGACUGAGAUGGUGCUCCUUGUGUUUUGGGUUCAGAGUCUCAAAGACAAAAAGUCAGAAAACUAAGCUUUUGGAAGGGCUGAAUAUAGAAUAAUCAAGACCCUAAACCUUGGAGGGUUCGUCAAAUGCCCCAUGUCGGGCUGGGUAACACCAAACAUGUGCCUUGAGAGUGAGUCUAAUUCUCUUUCAAUUUUUCUUUAUCCCAAAGGAGAAGGAAGAAUCUUUGACCAGCAAGAGCAGCCAGCUUGCAAAGACAGGAUGGCUGACAUGAGGUGCAAACAAGCAAGUCAGGGAGGUCACUUGUUUGACCUCCAGGAUGCAUUGCCCAGAGCCCGCAGGGUGAUUCCAGCUGUGCAGGGCACCCGUGCCCAGAGCCCCUGUGAGCCUGGCAGCUGACAACAUGCACCCAAGGGGCCAGGUCUCGGCUGGGGCUCACCUGGAGACACACCCUCCAUCCUGCUGUCCACGGGCUCCCUCCUGCCUGGUACCACUCCCACCACCUGACCGUUCUGGGCUCUGCCAAGAGCCGCCUGUUCAGCCGGUGUGAGCUGCUCACACAUAGCUUUCCUGCUGUUUCCUGGGGUUUAUUAUGACCUUGGGAAGAGUCAAAGCCAUUUUCUCCUUGGCAGGAAUGGGCUUUGGGCUUGUCUGAAUUCUAGCCACAGAUGCAUCCAGAAUGUUCCCACAGCCACAAGAGCUCCACAGUCAGGGUCACUUAACCAUCAAAUUGGGAGCCAGGUAACCAAGAUCUUGGUUGGUUCCUGCACCCACUGGUGGGAGGGGCCUGACAACCCAUGAAGCGUCCUUUUCUGCUCCCAAAGCCCGCUUCUUAUACAUGCCUGGCCUCCACCAGCCACACAGACAACUCUCCUAGGAACUUCCCUCCUCACUUGCCAUGCAUGGGCUGCAGCCUCUUGCCAUUGAAAGCACAGACCACAGCCAUCAGCAUAUAGAUUGAGCUGUUAACACAGGAAGAACAGAGUGAAAAGGGAGGGGGCUUACAGACCUGAGGUGGGCUUUUCUGGGGGAAGGUGGUUUCUGAGAUGAGGGGUCAACCAGCUGCUUCUGCCACCUCACCAAGGAGAAGGGGAGAGUCCGAAUAAGGGGGUCAUCACUAUGCCUGGCCCCUCCCCCAUAGGGGCAGAGGAAGGGGCAGGAAGCAGGGCUGGCGUGUCUCUGCACCCCCACUGCCAGUCCCAGGCCAUCACCCCGACACGUCCUGCUUGCUGAAGGAUCUCCCUGUCCAGUCUCUACUUUCCAUAGUGGGUCUUGAUUCUCCUUUGAAUCUUGGCCACAAGCAGACCUUUGCUGAGUCUGUGACCACAAGGCAUUUAAGAUGCAAUGUUAGUUUCCCCCACCCCGGGGGAAGGGCGGGAGGCAGGUGGCAGGGCUGGAUUGGAGCCCAGGAUGAUGCUUGGUGGGAAGCUGGAGGGGCAGGUAGACUCAGAUUACACACUUGGGAGUCCAGACGAGGGAGCUGAUGCCUCGUGAGAUGAAACGGUUUGUUUACCGAGAGCUUGUGCUCAUUGAUGGGAGAGCAAGACUACGCUCAGGUCAUUGGACACCCGAGCCUUCCUGCAGCUGUGGAGCCUAUCCCAUCCAGCAGUGGCUCAGGUGAUGACGGGUGGCACAGCUCUGGGAGCAGAGGGGCACCCCUGUGUAACCUCGACCCCUUCCAGAUGUCCCUGCCUUGCACCAGGGGUUACAUGCAUCCUGGGGGCACACUUGGGAGGAAUGACCUUUUAGAGGUGUUAUGCCUGGAUAAACCUCCAGACCCUGUGGGAAUCAAAGCUCUGAGUGGAGUCCUGCAGUGUCUGCUGUGGCCUCCACGCCUCCCCUGUCUCCUGAAUGUCUCCUGCUUCCAGGGGGCUCAUGGCUUUCCUAGUGACACUGGGAUUCGUGGUUGUCACCACUCCUGCAGCUGACCCUGUGUACUCCCUCCUCCUACUUCUCUCCAUGUGCUGCUCUGUGAACAGCUGUUCCUGCCUGGGGAGGAGCACCCAGAUCUGCAGACCAGGCUCCUGCUGGUGAUGUGAGUGCCACUGCACACACGGCCACACACACUCGACAUCAUCUCUUGCACACUUGCCACGUGCUGGAUGGCGGAGUGCACAUCACAUGUGACGGGAUCUCUGCCCCAAGCAGUGGUCAGGAGGGCUUCCUUGGUGGUCCAGUGGUUAAGAAUCCAUGUUGCAAUGCAGGGGACACAAUUUCGGUCCCUGGUUCUGGGAAUAUCCCACAUGCCCUGGGCGGCUAAGAUCGUGUGCUGUGAAUACCGAAGCCCACAUGCAGUGGCUACUGAAGACUGUGUGCCUACAGCCUGUGCUCCACGACAAGAGAAGCCACCAAAACAUAACUAGAGAGAAGGCUGCACUAGAGAAGAGCCCAUGCAGCAACGAAGAUCCAGUCCAGCCAAAAAUAAAUAAAUAAUAUAAAUUGUAUAUAAAAAUAUCACCGGGGGAAGAGGAAGCAGGUGCCAGGCUGUGAAGGUGGCAAGAAGAAGCCCCUGAAGCAGCCCAAGAAGCAAGACAAGGAGAUGGAUGAGGGAGAUAAGGCAUUCAAGCAGAAACAGAAGGAGGAGCUGAAGAAACUUGAGGAGCUAAAAGUGAAGGCCAGGGGAAAGGCCCCCUGGCCACAGGUGGAAUUAAGAAAUCUGGCAAAAAAAUAAGCUGUUCCGUGGACCUAAGACAGUGAUGAUCCUUAGUUCCAUUCCUCUGCAAACACCGGCAUUCCCUGCCAUAACAGCCUUUGCAUCCUCUAGCUAAGAUGAAGUCUUGUCUUGGAACUUAUUGUACAUUUAAGAAUAAACUUUUGUAAAAAAACAAAACAAAAAUCAUACACUGGCUCAUUUGUCUUCAUUUCUUCUCAGCCGU
This is a long non-coding RNA of Bos taurus (domestic cattle), 13870 nucleotides long. NCBI's taxonomy places the organism in Eukaryota, Metazoa, Chordata, Mammalia, Artiodactyla, Bovidae. The record is from Ensembl.